GCACCCCCUUCCCCUUCCCCUUCCCCUGCGCGGGGCACGGAGCCGGGGGCGAUGCUCGCGGGCGGGGCGGCCCUUCGGGGAAGCGCACCCAGCUCCGCGGGCUGAGCCGAAAGCCACGUGCGGGGCUGCGGAAGAGCAGUUGAUGCCCGGGGCAGCAGGGCCUGGCUGCACGGGGGCACGGUCCUAGCAGCAGAGGACGUUACAUGUGCUGCGCGGGACUAGCAUUGUAGGAUGUCUUCAGUGUGGGAGAGUGAAUCUGUGGUGGGUUACUAUGUGGAGUAUGAAGGCAUUUGGAAAAUCUGACAGAGCAAUAAGACUGCUC
Long non-coding RNA from Alligator mississippiensis (American alligator), 322 nucleotides. RefSeq lists it as uncharacterized. Lineage: Eukaryota; Metazoa; Chordata; Crocodylia; Alligatoridae. The record is from RefSeq and is a predicted model, not a curated record. The transcript is spliced from 3 exons.